Dermacentor silvarum is the source of this 619-nucleotide long non-coding RNA. RefSeq lists it as uncharacterized. The transcript is spliced from 2 exons. NCBI's taxonomy places the organism in Eukaryota, Metazoa, Arthropoda, Arachnida, Ixodida, Ixodidae. The record is from RefSeq and is a predicted model, not a curated record.
AUUCCCCCGAGGGAUGUUCACGCUUUGGACAGCUGACAAAAGCUGUGGCAACGCUUCGUAAAUGUACGCAGCAUGAGGAAAGGGCAAUAAAUACAAUAAAGGCAAAGCGACAUCGCUAUAAAAGCCAUCGCCGCUGAAGCUGCAAACGGAUAAGGACCUUGCGACCGGUUGGUUUUUCCCUGCUCGCUUACUGUGUGUUGACGACCGGCAAGCACACUCGCACGCCCUCUGCGAGAAUGAAGACUUCUACGCUCAUCGUUCUGCUGGUGGUAGGCGCCUGCCUCGUUGCGAGCAUCGACGCCCUGGCGGCUUCGCCCAACGCGAGGGCAAAGAGGAGCGACUGUGUCUAUGAAGAGUGCACCGACGAAGAGUGCGCUGCGCGUGGAAUGCAGUGCAGGCGGAAGGGGUGCGGAGGUUCCCACUGCGUGUAGCUGAUGCAUUCGUCAUUGUGGGCGUAAUGGCGCAGCAAUUCACCGUGUCAAGAGUUCAUGGUUCCUUCGACUCAAAUGGAGCUUAAGGGAAGCAAUAAAGAAUGGCAAAUGGGAUGACUGCAAAUUUGAUAUGACGCCGUGCGCAGAUUCAACUGCUGAUGAAAAAUUAAAAUUUAUCAAAACGAAAA